GACGAACGCUGGCGGCAUGCCUAAUACAUGCAAGUCGAGCGAACAGAUGAAGUGCUUGCACUUCUGACGUUAGCGGCGAACGGGUGAGUAACACGUAAGGAAUCUACCUAUAAGCGGGGGAUAACAUUUGGAAACGGGUGCUAAUACCGCAUAAUAUCUUCUUCCGAAUGGAAGAAGAUUGAAAGACGGCUCUGCUGUCACUUAUAGAUGACCUUGCGGUGCAUUGGUUAGUUGGUGGGGUAACGGCCUACCAAGACGAUGAUGCAUAGCCGACCUGAGAGGGUGAUGGGCCACAUUGGGGCUGAGACACGGCCAAAACGCCUACGGGAGGCAGCAGUAGGGAAUCUUCCGCAAUGGGCCAAAGCCUGACGGAGCAAUGCCGCGUGAGUGAAGAAGGCCUUCGGGUCGUAAAACUCUGUUAUAAGAGAAGAACAAAUUGUAGAGUAACUGCUACAGUCUUGACGGUAUCUUAUCAGGAAGCCACGGCUAACUACGUGCCAGCCGCCGCAGUAA
This 513-nucleotide ribosomal RNA is filed under the name uncultured bacterium. Its description in RNAcentral is "partial 16S ribosomal RNA". It matches the Rfam family "Bacterial small subunit ribosomal RNA", at positions 28 to 523 of the family's 1533-position model. The record is from RNAcentral.